CGAGCGCAGCGAGAAAGCGUUGCCGCAGGCAACGACCCGAAGGGCGAAGCGCGCAGCGCUGAGUAAUCCUUCCCCCAUCACCA
This 83-nucleotide small RNA is filed under the name Salmonella enterica. RNAcentral describes it as "partial RtT sRNA". It matches the Rfam family "RtT RNA", at positions 49 to 130 of the family's 130-position model. Rfam says of the family: This family represents a bacterial cis-regulatory element known as RtT RNA. The record is from RNAcentral. RNAcentral also lists the same sequence under 1 other name. Lineage: Bacteria; Pseudomonadati; Pseudomonadota; Gammaproteobacteria; Enterobacterales; Enterobacteriaceae.